GGAUCCAGACUUUGAUCAUGGCUCAGGAUGAACGCUAGCUACAGGCUUAACACAUGCAAGUCGAGGGGCAGCAUGUCGGUUGCUUGCAACCGACGAUGGCGACCGGCGCACGGGUGAGUAACGCGUAUCCAACCUACCCUUGUCCAUCGGAUAACCCGUCGAAAGGCUGCCUAACACGAUAUGCGGUUCACCGCAGGCAUCUAACGUGAACGAAAUGUGAAGGAGAAGGAUGGGGAUGCGUCUGAUUAGCUUGUUGGCGGGGUAACGGCCCACCAAGGCGACGAUCAGUAGGGGUUCUGAGAGGAAGGUCCCCCACAUUGGAACUGAGACACGGUCCAAACUCCUACGGGAGGCAGCAGUGAGGAAUAUUGGUCAAUGGACGAGAGUCUGAACCAGCCAAGUAGCGUGCAGGAUGACGGCCCUAUGGGUUGUAAACUGCUUUUAUAGGGGGGUAAAGUGUGCCACGUGUGGCAUAUUGCAGGUACCCUAUGAAUAAGGACCGGCUAAUUCCGUGCCAGCAGCCGCGGUAAUACGGAAGGUCCGGGCGUUAUCCGGAUUUAUUGGGUUUAAAGGGAGCGUAGGCCGUCUUAUAAGCGUGUUGUGAAAUGUCGGGGCUCAACCUGGGCAUUGCAGCGCGAACUGUGAGACUUGAGUGCGCAGGAAGUAGGCGGAAUUCGUCGUGUAGCGGUGAAAUGCUUAGAUAUGACGAAGAACUCCGAUUGCGAAGGCAGCCUGCUGUAGCGCAACUGACGCUGAAGCUCGAAAGCGU
RNAcentral lists this ribosomal RNA (769 nucleotides) under uncultured Bacteroidota bacterium. RNAcentral describes it as "bacterial SSU rRNA". It matches the Rfam family "Bacterial small subunit ribosomal RNA", at positions 1 to 762 of the family's 1533-position model. The record is from RNAcentral. Lineage: Bacteria; Pseudomonadati; Bacteroidota.